GCUCUUUGGUGAGGAGGCUCUGGAAUGAGUGUUGGGCUCACGGCAUGGGCAGGAUUGCAGACUCUCCCUGCCUUGUUUGAGAACAGC
Small nucleolar RNA from Suricata suricatta (meerkat), 87 nucleotides. Ensembl annotates it as small nucleolar RNA, C/D box 83A. The record is from Ensembl. Lineage: Eukaryota; Metazoa; Chordata; Mammalia; Carnivora; Herpestidae.